CCUACGGGUGGCAGCAGUGAGGAAUAUUGGUCAAUGGACGAGAGUCUGAACCAGCCAAGUAGCGUGAAGGAUGACUGCCCUAUGGGUUGUAAACUUCUUUUAUAAAGGAAUAAAACGAGGCACGUGUGCCUUUUUGCAUGUACUUUAUGAAUAAGGAUCGGCUAACUCCGUGCCAGCAGCCGCGGUAAUACGGAGGAUCCGAGCGUUAUCCGGAUUUAUUGGGUUUAAAGGGAGCGUAGAUGGGUUGUUAAGUCAGUUGCGAAAGUUUGCGGCUCAACCGUAAAAUUGCAAUUGAUACUGGCAGUCUUGAGUACAGUUGAGGUAGGCGGAAUUCGCGGUGUAGCGGUGAAAUGCUUAGAUAUCACGAAGAACCCCGAUUGCGAAGGCAGCUUACUAAACUGCCACUGACAUUGAUGCUCGAAAGUGUGGGUAUCAAACAGGAUUAGAUACCCGAGUAGUC
RNAcentral lists this ribosomal RNA (460 nucleotides) under uncultured bacterium. Its description in RNAcentral is "partial 16S ribosomal RNA". It matches the Rfam family "Bacterial small subunit ribosomal RNA", at positions 338 to 795 of the family's 1533-position model. The record is from RNAcentral.